GGCGGUCCUCAGGUGACACACUCGGGAAUCGGUCUCCCUCCUCUCUAGUUCCAGGUGCAUCACCUGAGAACCGCA
Molecule: non-coding RNA, 75 nt
Organism: Myotis brandtii (Brandt's bat)
Lineage: Eukaryota; Metazoa; Chordata; Mammalia; Chiroptera; Vespertilionidae
Source: Rfam